This 259-nucleotide ribosomal RNA is filed under the name uncultured prokaryote. RNAcentral describes it as "partial 16S ribosomal RNA". It matches the Rfam family "Bacterial small subunit ribosomal RNA", at positions 524 to 782 of the family's 1533-position model. The record is from RNAcentral.
UACGGAGGAUCCGAGCGUUAUCCGGAAUUAUUGGGUUUAAAGGGUGCGUAGGCGGCCAUUUAAGUCAGCGGUGAAAUUUUGCAGCUUAACUGUAACAGUACCGUUGAUACUGUUUGGCUAGGAUUUGGUUGUAGUGUGCGGAAUGUGUGGUGUAGCGGUGAAAUGCUUAGAUAUCACACAGAAUAUCAAUUGCGAAGGCAGCUCACAAAGCCAAGAUUGACGCUGAGGCACGAAAGUGUGGGGAUCAAACAGGAUUAGA